GUCAGAGCAUCCUACGGGUAGGCUAGGCUAGUGGGGGAAUAUUGUCACAAUGGGUCGCAAGCCUGAUGCAGCCAUUGCCGCGUGUAUUGAAGAAGGCCUUCGGGUUGUAAAGUACUUUCAGCAGUGAGGAAGGUGGGUAUGUUAAUAGCAUACUCAUUUUGACGUUAGCUGCAGAAGAAGCACCGGCUAACUCCGUGCCAGCAGCCGCGGUAAUACGGAGGGUGCGAGCGUUAAUCGGAAUUACUGGGCGUAAAGCGCAUGCAGGUGGUUUGUUAAGUCAGAUGUGAAAGCCCGGGGCUCAACCUCGGAAUUGCAUUUGAAACUGGCAAACUAGAGUACUGUAGGAGGGGGUAGAAUUUCAGGUGUAGCGUGAAAAUGCGUAGAGAUCUGAAGGAAUACCGGUGGCGAAGGCGGCCCCCUGGACAGAUACUGACACUCAGAUGCGAAAGCGUGGGUAGCAAACAGGAUUAGAUACCCCUGGUAG
RNAcentral lists this ribosomal RNA (484 nucleotides) under uncultured bacterium. RNAcentral describes it as "bacterial SSU rRNA". It matches the Rfam family "Bacterial small subunit ribosomal RNA", at positions 323 to 793 of the family's 1533-position model. The record is from RNAcentral.